GUUUUUUGUUAUUGUUGUUGUUUGUUUUUUUAAUGUGACAGCAUGCCUUUUUAAGGUUGUCUGUUACAUUUCACUUGUAAUUAAUUAAGAAUUGGCCAAAGAAGAAUUUCAGAUGAACAGUAUCAAAAUAUAGGUGUACUGCUGAGAAAGAACUGUACCUUCUUUUCCCCAAAAGACAGAGGAGAAACUUAAAUGCUAGUGACCCUUCAAGGAUUAAAAAAUAUAUAUAAAGUAAAAAUAAGUCAUGACGGACAUGAGAAAAGCAGAGGAGGAAGCAAAGAGAGGAAUGAGGAAGGGAGCGCCUACUUGGAUCAAAAAACUGGUUAAAUAGUGCUAGGAUAUCAGCCUCCCUGCUAUCAGCAAUGAUUGGAAUUAAUCCAGGAAUUCAGAAUGGGUCUGUAAAUGUAUCUUCAAUUGUAGCCAUUGGCAUAGAUUUAUAUUCUCAGUCCCUUGGGCAUUGAAUUUCAUUUCCCCAUUUGCUAAAUGAGAACAAUUUAUCCUAAAUCAACGAUAAUCAGAGUAAACACUAUUAUUAAUUUAUUGUUUCCAGACUAGCAAAAAACAGUAAAAUGAAGCUCUCUUCUUUUAUCAGUGCUUUCCCUACCCCUUUUGCCCUGAGGAUCCUAUUAGCAGAAAGCUGAGCAACUCUGUUUCAUCAGAAAUAAAUUAUGCCUCACUUUUUUUUUAAUAAUUACUCAAUGAGUGAAUAGUCACCAGUCUUGAAGAGAACAGAAGAAAAGAUUGAUUUGCUAGGAGGCACAGGUCAUGCUGAUCUGACUGGGCAUGCUGUAUUUAUGUACCUGGAAGUCUGUAGGUCCCUGCUGGCCUCAACUUGUGCACAUGUGGGGGAGCUAAGCCCACAGGGGGUUCACUCUGUGAUGAAGUGUUGCUUGGAGCUGGGACUCUCACCUUCUUUGGAUAAUGUGGCUGGAUUCCCUUCAUCCCCCGACAUGGGAGAAAAGACUCCUUGGCAAAGUGUAACAAUCUCCCUAACUCGAUCUCUCGUGGGACUCACAGACUCCCAUCAACUGCACACUGACAGCAAAUCUAUUCCAGUACUUUUGGGAGAAUAAGAAUUGAUGCUAGCUUGGUGAAAGCGAUAAUGUGGCAUCCUUUUAGUCCUAUUCUUUCCUCACUUCUGGUGAUGUGAUUUUGUUACUAACACUGAGAAACUAAGUAGGGAGUGGAGAAGAUGGUGUCACCCUCAAAUCAGCCUGUCUUUGUCUCUGAGCAUAGUUUAAGGCAAGAGAUGCUGAGAUGCUGUGAUAGUAGUGGCACUGCCUAGAGUUGUGUAUAUUAAAGAUCCUUAAAUUCUCCCUGUGUAAUACUUUCAAAACAUCCCAAAAGUUUCUUCCAGCAGUGGGGUUGUGGGAGCACAUGUAUAUCAUUUUCUAGCUGUUUGUUGUGGUUUUGGGCUUUGUACUUUGGCAGGGUCAAAACUGAGCUUCUGCUUUUCACAGGUCCAUUGUCACCAAAAUUACCCACAUUUUGUCCUGUUAGCAUGUCCUAUGCAUUUCUGUACCAUCAUGACGGGGAACUUUGAUAGUGUGGAUUUUUUUUUAUAAGUUACUUCUUUACAGUAAGCCAACAAGCCUUGUCACUAUUCAGACAUGAAAGGGGAACCUUACAAAAGUAACCAAACCUGGACCAUGCAAGAAUUACACAUAGGAAGACAUGUAUACAGGCCAAACUCCAGUUUUAUCAGCAGAAUUCUAGCAGCUUUUGCUUCAUGUUCUGUAACCAGCUAGCUCGUUCUAAGCAGCCUUCCAGCACUGUUGAACUUCCAAAGUCAGUGUUACCUGGUGGCUUCCAAGGAAUACCUUUACAUAUAGGGUGCUCUGUCUGUCAGCCAGGCCGAGGGGGUCCUGCAGACUGGAGGUGAGCUGAGCCUUGUUGAGAAAUUUUACAGCACUUCACUGGACUGCUCUGGGCCAUUAGUCUUGUAGUCUCCUUACUGCAUACAGAUUACAGUGUGUUUGUAUUGACGGAGUUCUGUAGAUAUUAACACUGACUUUUUUUGACUCAGAAGAUGAAUUGUGGUAGUUAAAGGGUCAUUGAAUUAGGGCUUGAGACACCUUGUACGGUGUUAACCCUGGUGGGCAGCUGAGCACCGCCCGGCUGCUUGCUCAUUUCCCUAUGCUAGAAGGGGAGAGGAUCAGAAGGGGAAAAGUGAGAAAACUCCUGGGCUGAGAUAAGGGCAGUUUAAAAGGUAAAGCAAAGGUUGUGUGCACAAGCAAAGGAGAAUAAUUGACUUUGUCCCCUUGGCAGGCAGGUUUUCAGCCACUUCCAGGAAGCAGGGCUCCAACAUGCAAACACUGUGACCCUGAACGUCCCCCUUCCUUCUCCUUUCCCCCAGUUUUUAUUGCUGAGCACAACAUCUCAUGAGACAGAAUAUCCAUGGAGUCUGUUGGGGUUGGAAGUCCUGGCCAUGUCCCUUCCCAGCUCCUCGUGCACCUUGCUGGGAAGUAGAGAGAGCAACAGAGAAGCCUUGAUACCCUGAAAGCUCUGGUCAGCAACAGCCCUUGUGUGUGCUCAACACUGUUUUCAUCACAAAUCCAAAACAUACGCGUUGCAGUGAAGAAAAUUAAUUCCAGCCCAGCCAAAACCAGUAUACAUCUUUAGCUGCUAUUUUAUUCCAUAUUAAAAAUAAUUUGAAUCGAAUGUGUUUUAGGUUUGUUUUAGUCUUGAACAUAACACAGAUUUCUCACUUAAAUGGCAGUCCAGCUUUCAAACACCUACUUUCUUUUCUGAUGCUAAUAGUAGAACAGCAUACUAUACCUAAGAUACCUACUGCAGGUAUCAUAUUUUCUGUUUUAUGGAAAAGCUCUGAGGCUUGUUAACAUUCUUGAUAAGUAAAGGUAGCUUUUAUAUGAAGAAAUAAAAAUAAGAAAAUAAAUUAGAUAAAAUUUAAA
RNAcentral lists this long non-coding RNA (2912 nucleotides) under Anas platyrhynchos platyrhynchos (common mallard). Its description in RNAcentral is "lncRNA (ENSAPLG00000026586.1)". Lineage: Eukaryota; Metazoa; Chordata; Aves; Anseriformes; Anatidae. The record is from RNAcentral.